Molecule: non-coding RNA, 20 nt
Filed under: Rattus norvegicus (Norway rat)
Lineage: Eukaryota; Metazoa; Chordata; Mammalia; Rodentia; Muridae
Source: RNAcentral
UGGUAGACACCGAUUCCUCU